GAGUUUGAUCGUGGCUCAGGAUGAACGCUGGCGGCGUGCCUAAUACAUGCAAGUCGAGCGAACGGACGAGAAGCUUGCUUCUCUGAUGUUAGCGGCGGACGGGUGAGUAACACGUGGAUAACCUACCUAUAAGACUGGGAUAACUUCGGGAAACCGGAGCUAAUACCGGAUAAUAUUUUGAACCGCAUGGUUCAAAAGUGAAAGACGGUCUUGCUGUCACUUAUAGAUGGAUCCGCGCUGCAUUAGCUAGUUGGUAAGGUAACGGCUUACCAAGGCAACGAUGCAUAGCCGACCUGAGAGGGUGAUCGGCCACACUGGAACUGAGACACGGUCCAGACUCCUACGGGAGGCAGCAGUAGGGAAUCUUCCGCAAUGGGCGAAAAGCCUGACGGAGCAACGCCGCGUGAGGGAUGAAGGUCUUCGGAUCGUAAAACUCUGUUAUUAGGGAAGAACAUAUGUGUAAGUAACUGUGCACAUCUUGACGGUACCUAAUCAGAAGGCCACGGCUAACUACGUGCC
This 519-nucleotide ribosomal RNA is filed under the name uncultured microorganism. RNAcentral's name for it is "bacterial SSU rRNA". It matches the Rfam family "Bacterial small subunit ribosomal RNA", at positions 9 to 509 of the family's 1533-position model. The record is from RNAcentral.